RNAcentral lists this ribosomal RNA (427 nucleotides) under uncultured bacterium. RNAcentral's name for it is "bacterial SSU rRNA". It matches the Rfam family "Bacterial small subunit ribosomal RNA", at positions 354 to 773 of the family's 1533-position model. The record is from RNAcentral.
GUGGGGAAUAUUGCACAAUGGGCGCAAGCCUGAUGCAGCCAUGCCGCGUGUAUGAAGAAGGCCUUCGGGUUGUAAAGUACUUUCAGCGGGGAGGAAGGGAGUAAAGUUAAUACCUUUACUCAUUGACGUUACCCGCAGAAGAAGCACCGGCUAACUCCGUGCCAGCAGCCGCGGUAAUACGGAGGGUGCAAGCGUUAAUCGGAAUUACUGGGCGUAAAGCGCACGCAGGCGGUUUGUUAAGUCAGAUGUGAAAUCCCCGGGCUCAACCUGGGAACUGCAUCUGAUACUGGCAAGCUUGAGUCUCGUAGAGGGGGGUAGAAUUCCAGGUGUAGCGGUGAAAUGCGUAGAGAUCUGGAGGAAUACCGGUGGCGAAGGCGGCCCCCUGGACGAAGACUGACGCUCAGGUGCGAAAGCGUGGGGAGCAAAC